Molecule: long non-coding RNA, 909 nt
Filed under: Homo sapiens (human)
Lineage: Eukaryota; Metazoa; Chordata; Mammalia; Primates; Hominidae
Description: HSALNT0375462
Source: RNAcentral
AACUCCUGACCUCAAGUGAUCCGCCCACCUCGGCCUCCCAAAGUGCUGGGAUUACAGGCAUGAGCCACCGCUCCGGGCCCUUGCACAUAUUUUUUUAUGAACACACAGGCAGCAGCACUUUGAUUACAGUAACUUACAUGGAAGUUAUUUUAAAAUGGCUUUCCCCUUCUCUUUUUCAUGUAGGCUGCAUUUUUCAUCUGCAGCACGCUUUCUCUCAAGAAUCUCAAGCACACACAAGAAACCAGAGAGUAAAAUCACUGAGGCGUGAACACAUCCAGAGACCAAGGGCGUCACUGGCAGAAAAGCUUUUAGGCGGAUCCACGGCCCGAGAGCCACCCUGCCCAGAGACGCGGUUUCCUAGGAGCAGUUCACACGCGGCUCUGCAGCACCCACAAGCGGGGCCAGGGGCUGGUUUUCAUAGUUCACAGUCUGCAGGGAUCUUAACAAAAACAUGGCCGUGGUAAAAGUGCCUAGACCAGGCUUUCGUCACAACUCAUCAUGUUACUAGGUUAGGAUAAUAAAAAGGACUGUGAACUUCACAUCUGCCAUCUAUAAUAGAUUCUUAUUGUAGCAAUCUUGCACCAAGGGGAUUUCUUUAUUAACUCUGCCAAAUUUUCCAAAAUUACCAAAUGGAGAAAAGAGCUGGUCCCAUCUGUCACCAGGCACAACCAGGAAGUGUCAGAAGACUUUCAGAAGCACAUGCAGUUGCAGCUCCAGUGUUUCAACAGUUGCCCAUUUCCAAGGCCUCCUAAAUACGUAUGAGGCCUGUGGACAACUUUCUCCUCAGCUGUUACAGCACGAAUGGUUAGAAAGAUGAACUUGGAACCUCAGACGAGAAUAUGAGAAACAUAAACAGAGACAUAUGACAACCUAAAAAAUGGAGUACAAUACCAAUAAGAAUAACGAUUA